CCUACUUUAGUCAUCAGUUAUUAAUAUUUCUCAAUUUUCUCUAGCCUUAACCAUCCAAUUAUCGUGAAGUAUUACUUCCCUACUUUUUUUAACCUUCUUUUAUAAAGGAAUAAAGUGAGGCACGUGUGCCUCUUUGUAUGUACUUUAUGAAUAAGGAUCGGCUAACUCCGUGCCAGCAGCCGCGGUAAUACGGAGGAUCCGAGCGUUAUCCGGAUGUAUUGGGUUUAAAGGGAGCGUAGAUGGGUUGUUAAGUCAGUUGUGAAAGUUUGCGGCUCAACCGUAAAAUUGCAAUUGAUACUGGCAGUCUUGAGUACAGUUGAGGUAGGCGGAAUUCGUGGUGUAGCGGUGAAAUGCUUAGAUAUCACGAAGAACACCGAUUGCGAAGGCAGCUUACUAAACUGCCACUGACAUUGAUGCGCGAAAGUGUGGGUAUCAAACAGGAUUAGAUACCCGGGUAGUC
Molecule: ribosomal RNA, 460 nt
Filed under: uncultured bacterium
Lineage: Bacteria
Description: partial 16S ribosomal RNA
Rfam family: Bacterial small subunit ribosomal RNA
Source: RNAcentral